This 236-nucleotide unclassified non-coding RNA is filed under the name Hevea brasiliensis (rubber tree). The record is from RNAcentral. Lineage: Eukaryota; Viridiplantae; Streptophyta; Magnoliopsida; Malpighiales; Euphorbiaceae.
AAUAUUGAAUCCACCACUCUCAAUGUGGGCUCUCACAAAUCCUGGCUGCGGACCACAGCCUGCAUGCUCCCUUGAUUGAAAUAAUACAACAUAACUCCCAUCAUCAUUACGGCGCCAAUACCGUACAUAACAAAGAUCACGGGGCCACACAAACGCUGGAAACCAAUCAUGCUGCAAUCUAUGAUAUAGUAUCGCAGUGUGCCCAUCUACCUCCUCAACUAAGCUACCGUACUGAA